AACGAAGUAGCAAUACUUAGUGGCAGACGGGUGAGUAACAUGUAGGUAUCUGCCCUUUGGCCUGGAAUAACACGAGGAAACUUGUGCUAAUACCGGAUAAGUCUUUACAGAGAAAGCUUUAUGCACCAUUGGAUGAGCCUGCACUUGAUUAGUUUGUUGGUAGGGUAAUGGCCUACCAAGACUGUGAUCAAUAGCUGAUUUGAGAGGAUGAUCAGCCACAUUGGGACUGAGACACGGCCCAAACUCCUACGGGAGGCAGCAGUGGGGAAUCUUGCACAAUGGAGGAAACUCUGAUGCAGCGAUGCCGCGUGAGUGAAGAAGGCCUUUGGGUUGUAAAGCUCUUUCGUCGGGGAAGAAAAUGACUGUACCCGAAUAAGAAGGUCCGGCUAACUUCGUGCCAGCAGCCGCGGUAAUACGAAGGGACCUAGCGUAGUUCGGAAUUACUGGGCUUAAAGAGUUCGUAGGUGGUUGAAAUAGUUGGUGGUGAAAUCCCAGAGCUUAACUCUGGAACUGCCAUCAAAACUUUUCAGCUAGAGUAUGAUAGAGGAAAGCAGAAUUUCUAGUGUAGAGGUGAAACUCGUAGAUAUUAGAAAGAAUACCAAUUGCGAAGGCAGCUUUCUGGAUCAUUACUGACGCUGAGGAACGAAAGCAUGGGUAGCGAAGAGGAUUA
RNAcentral lists this ribosomal RNA (670 nucleotides) under uncultured Alphaproteobacteria bacterium. Its description in RNAcentral is "bacterial SSU rRNA". It matches the Rfam family "Bacterial small subunit ribosomal RNA", at positions 65 to 780 of the family's 1533-position model. Lineage: Bacteria; Pseudomonadati; Pseudomonadota; Alphaproteobacteria. The record is from RNAcentral.